AUGACUCUCAUCACCAUCCUCAUCUGGACGCUGGCCUGCUGCUGUUUUACAGGAUGCAGCGGUCAGGUGACUGUGACUCAGCCUGCAGUAAAGACAUCUGCUCCAGGAUCCGCUGUCACUAUCAGCUGUAAGACCAUCCAGGAUGUAGGAGAUUGGUGUGGUGAUGAUGGUGAUGAGACUUGUUUGUCCUGGUAUCAGCAGAAAUCUGGACAGUCUCCAAAGCUUCUAAUAAAAUUAGUGAGCACACGUGAAUCAGGAACAGCAGCUCGGUUUAGUGGCAGUGGAAGCAGCUCUGACUUCACUUUGACCAUCAGUGGAGUUCAGACUGAAGAUGCAGCAGUUUAUUACUGUAAGAGUUUCCAUGUAAUAAACGGUGCCUAUGUGUUCACACAGUGA
This is a non-coding RNA of Centropristis striata (black sea bass), 396 nucleotides long. The record is from the annotation of a RefSeq genome assembly. NCBI's taxonomy places the organism in Eukaryota, Metazoa, Chordata, Actinopteri, Perciformes, Serranidae.